Molecule: ribosomal RNA, 468 nt
Filed under: uncultured bacterium
Lineage: Bacteria
Description: partial 16S ribosomal RNA
Rfam family: Bacterial small subunit ribosomal RNA
Source: RNAcentral
GACGAACGCUGGCGGCGUGCUUAACACAUGCAAGUCGAACGGAAAGGCCCUGCUUUUGUGGGGUGCUCGAGUGGCGAACGGGUGAGUAACACGUGAGUAACCUGCCCUUGACUUUGGGAUAACUUCAGGAAACUGGGGCUAAUACCGGAUAGGAGCUCCUGCUGCAUGGUGGGGGUUGGAAAGUUUCGGCGGUUGGGGAUGGACUCGCGGCUUAUCAGCUUGUUGGUGGGGUAGUGGCUUACCCAGGCAUUGACGGGUAGGCGGCCUGAGAGGGUGACCGGCCACCUUGGGCCUGAGGUACGGACCAGACUCCUACGGGGGGCAGCAGUGGGGAACAUUGCCCAAUGGGAGGAAGCCUGAUGCAGCGACGCCGCGUGCGGGAUGACGGCCUUCGGGUUGUAAACCGCUUUCGCCUGUGACGAAGCGUGAGUGACGGUAAUGGGUAAAGAAGCACCGGCUAACUACGUG